ACCUGGCUGGCUCAGUCAGUAGAGCAUGUGACUCUUAAUCUCAGGGUCAUGAUUUCGAGCCCCAUGUUGGGUG
This 73-nucleotide transfer RNA is filed under the name Felis catus (domestic cat). RNAcentral's name for it is "tRNA-Lys (CTT) (tRNA-Lys-CTT-20-1)". It matches the Rfam family "tRNA". From Rfam's summary of the family: Transfer RNA (tRNA) molecules are approximately 80 nucleotides in length. Their secondary structure includes four short double-helical elements and three loops (D, anti-codon, and T loops). Lineage: Eukaryota; Metazoa; Chordata; Mammalia; Carnivora; Felidae. RNAcentral also lists the same sequence under 1 other name. The record is from Rfam by way of RNAcentral.